CAACCUGUUUAUACUAAUGAUCCCAUUGAUGUAUUAAACAUCAAGCUAAAGAGAAUUAAGAAAUUUUUCAAAGGUUUGGGUUCCAAUAUAUUUGGUCAGAAUAAGAUCAGGAAAAAUCUUAUUAAGCUCGAGCUACAAGAGCUAGAAAAACUUGAGGAAGAGAAUGAUCUUUGUGGGGAGGCUUACACUAGGAAGUUGGACAUACUAGUAGAACUUAAUAACAUGUAUGUUGAGGAAGAGACCCAUUGGCAUCAGUUUUCUAAUGGGAGAUGGCUCCUGAAAGGUGAUAAUAACACAGACUUUUUUCAUAAAGUGGCUAAUGGGCGACGUAGAAAACAUUCUAUGAUCUCGCUGGAGUGUGGGGUGAUUGUAGAAGGGACUAAAAAUCUACUGUCCCAUGCUACUGCGUAUUAUAGAGACCUAUUUGGACCGGCCCCUGGUAAUACUUGUAAGAUUGAUGCCUCCCUUUGGUCCCAGGAUGAAAACAUC
This 489-nucleotide ribosomal RNA is filed under the name Triticum aestivum (bread wheat). RNAcentral describes it as "partial small subunit ribosomal RNA". Lineage: Eukaryota; Viridiplantae; Streptophyta; Magnoliopsida; Poales; Poaceae. The record is from RNAcentral.